This 497-nucleotide ribosomal RNA is filed under the name uncultured bacterium. Its description in RNAcentral is "partial 16S ribosomal RNA". It matches the Rfam family "Bacterial small subunit ribosomal RNA", at positions 28 to 507 of the family's 1533-position model. The record is from RNAcentral.
GAUGAACGCUGGCGGCGUGCCUAAUACAUGCAAGUCGAGCGAUCGCACGAGACGCUUUCUUCUCUGAUGUUAGCGUCGCACGCGUGAGUAACACGUCUAUAACCUACCUAUAAGACUGGGAUAACUUCGGGAAACCGUAGCUAAUACCGGAUAAUCUUUUGAACCGCAUGGUUCAAAAGUGAAAGACGGUCUUGCUUUCACUUAUAGAUGGAUCCGCGCUGCAUUAGCUAGUUGGUCAGGUAACGGCUUACCAAGGCAACGAUGCAUAGCCGACCUGAGAGGGUGAUCGGCCACACUGGAACUGAGACACGGUCCAGACUCCUACGGGAGGCAGCAGUGGGGAAUAUUGCGCAAAGGGCGAAAGCCUGAUGGAGCAACGCCGCGUGAAUGAUGAAGGUCUUCGGAUCGUAAAACUCUGUUAGUAGGGAAGAAGAGAUGUGUAAGAAAAUGUGCACAUCUUGACGUUACCUAAUGAGAAAGCCACGGCUAACUACGUG